Molecule: unclassified non-coding RNA, 297 nt
Filed under: uncultured fungus
Lineage: Eukaryota; Fungi
Description: partial contains 5.8S ribosomal RNA, internal transcribed spacer 2, and large subunit ribosomal RNA
Rfam family: 5.8S ribosomal RNA (bases 1-52)
Source: RNAcentral
AACGCAUCUUGCGCCUUUUGGUAUUCCAAAAGGCACACCUGUUUGAGUGUCAUGAAACCCUCUCAUUAAAACAUUUUUAUUAAUGUCUUUUUAAUGGAUGUUGAGUGUUGCUGUUAUUAGCUCACUUUAAAUAUAUAAGUCACAUUUCAAUAAGUUGGAUUGACUUGGUGUAAUAAUUUUAUCAUCACAUCAAGGAAAGUAGCAAUACUGCCAUCUUGUUUUUGAAGGGAGACUCCUAAACACCCCCCUUUUAAACAUUAAGACCUCAAAUCAGGUGGGGCUACCCGCUGAACUUAA